GUGAGGAAUAUUGGUCAAUGGGCGAGAGCCUGAACCAGCCAAGUCGCGUGAAGGAAGAAGGAUCUAUGGUUCGUAAACUUCUUUUGCAGGGGAAUAAAGUGCGGGACGUGUCCUGUUUUGUAUGUACCCUGAGAAUAAGGAUCGGCUAACUCCGUGCCAGCAGCCGCGGUAAUACGGAGGAUCCGAGCGUUAUCCGGAUUUAUUGGGUUUAAAGGGUGCGUAGGUGGUUUGAUAAGUCAGCGGUGAAAGUUUGCAGCUUAACUGUAAAAUUGCCGUUGAAACUGUCGAUCUUGAGUGCAAAUGAGGUAAGCGGAAUGUGUUGUGUAGCGGUGAAAUGCUUAGAUAUAACACAGAACACCGAUUGCGAAGGCAGCUUACUGGGAUGCAACUGACGCUCAUGUACGAAAGCGUGGGGAUCAAACAGGAUUAGAAACCCGUGUAGUCC
Molecule: ribosomal RNA, 445 nt
Filed under: uncultured bacterium
Lineage: Bacteria
Description: partial 16S ribosomal RNA
Rfam family: Bacterial small subunit ribosomal RNA
Source: RNAcentral